This 376-nucleotide long non-coding RNA is filed under the name Mytilus galloprovincialis (Mediterranean mussel). Lineage: Eukaryota; Metazoa; Mollusca; Bivalvia; Mytilida; Mytilidae. The record is from RNAcentral.
UGAUUUACUUACCGUUUUGGUUGUUUAAAAAAAGGUGUCCAAGACACCUUGAUACGAUUUUAAGGUCUUUUGACGUUUUGUUUUUGACAUCGACAUCUUUUCGAAUUCUUUAUCACAUCAACAACAAUGGAUACUAAUCGCAGAGUCGAACACGCCGGACUCCGAGAAACGAAAUUUUACGGUUGAUGAUGACCCAUCAAAUUGGGGAAUCAGUAUAAAAAGAAAUCAGAGUAUGUGUUUAAUUAAUGAAUAUGAUAAAUUGCCAUCAUUCAAUACAAUACUAGCAGAUUAUAACGAUAGUUUUUUUUUUUUUUUUUUUUUUUUAAAGGGGGGGGGGUCGUACGCCCAUUACGCCCUUACCUGGACCCGCCCCUGG